AACCUUGAUAGUUUUGCCAGGUGCUUUGAUUGAUUGCCCAGCUUGUGAUGAAGCGCUGGACAAUGGAUCAAGGACGUAAUGAAUCCAAGAAGAGCACUGCAAGGGUCCCAGGGAACAGUUCAGUACGCACUUGAUUCUGUGCUCACCUGUGGUCAUGUCACGAGGCAAGUGAAGGUGGCGGCACAGCUCCAAGAUGUCAAGUACCCCAGACCUGCUAUCUCGGCAGGCUGCAGAACAUACAGCAGUGACUAAACACACCAGGAAACAGGCAGGCCACAAACUAAUAAACCCGCGAGUGUUCAAGCACCACAAAUCAGUCAACAGCAGCAAGAAAUCAGGAGGUGUGUGUGGAAAUGCUGCUCCAAAGGCUGCACUGACACUUCACUUGAUGACUUAUUUUGAGUUGAUAUUUUGGCCCCCGACUGUGAUGUGAGGGAGGGAUGGUGGCUCAUGUCUCACCAGGUUUUAAGUAACACAACACAAAGGUGACAUGGUGGUGGAAUAGCAUCACAGAAAGAGUCUUAUUUCCUUCUCAAGUCCAGCGUGCUUUGCUGUCUUACUUGAUGCUUACAAUGGAUGACGAUGAUGAUUACUUCACUCCCACUACCUCAAGCAGCCGCCGCUUGGCCAUGCUGUUCAGCCCUGAGGAGAUGAGUAGCAAUAGCAGCAGCAGCAGCACAGGCCACCACACUGACCUCUCCACCAACUUCAGGUUUGUGGCACCUAAGCAGCCACGGCCAGGCAGGAGCAAUUCUUCUGCCUCAUCUGGCACUGGACAAGCCUCCAAGGAUGGCCAAGAGGUUCUGCUUGACGUGCCCCUCAGUCUGCUGCCUCAAGGGGCAGAGAGGAGCGGAGCGGCUAGGAUGGCAGUGAGCUGCCAGGUGGUGGGCAAUGCUGUGAAGAGGAGCUUCACCCUGUUGGUGGUGGUGCAGGACAAAGGGGAGCUCUGGAGAGCUGCUGUUGACUCACAUCUACUUCUAGAGGUGCUGGAGCGCUCCACUCUGAGGGUGACAGCUCACAGCAAAUCCCUCACACUGCUCGGAGAGGCACAGCGAAUUGAAGACUUGGUGAUGCAGCUGGCCAUCUACCGAGCUGUCACUAGCAGUGGCCCUUCACAGCAGGACCUGUGUGUGGGCAAAGGCCCACACACUCUGGGCGAGGGGGACGUGGCCAAAGUUCACUGCAGCACCCACACCAUCACCUCCACAGCCCUCAAGGGAGAAGUGAUUGAAAAUUUGAAGGGAGUGAAGGUGACAGUGACCCCGGCCUCAGAAGGUGGGUGGGAGAGCUGCCUGGCAGGUGCAACAGUGGACUCCCACAGGCUGAUCUUCCUUCCCAAGCAAAGGGAUGGUAAAUGGUUGCCUCCAACAACAUUCCACAACAUAACAAUCUUGAAAGUAAGAACCAAAGGGGGUAAGGACAAGCCAUCGCCAGCAGCAACAGCAGUCAGUAACAACACCAGUCCUGUGACACUACAACAACAACAACAACAUCAACAACAACAGACAAUCACUUCCCAGGAUGCAACCCUUACUGCUUCUUCACAUAACUUCACAGGUCAGAAUGGAGACAUGGCUGAGUCACAGGGCCAGAAUACUCAGGAGGACAGUGAGGCAAGCAGGAAGGCGGCACUGGUGUCUCGCAUGGCUCAGCUUGGCACUCCACUCUUCCCGCCGCUGCCUAGUGCCAAGGUGUCACAGCCCUCCGAGGUGACCGGCGAGGGUGCUGUGGAGACACAAGGAGCAUCAGUAGAAGGGGCGUCAAUCCCUGCUGCCACUCCACCUAUGCAUGUUCCUGAUUCCUCCACCUCUACCACUGUCUCCAUUCCUACUACUCCCUCCUCCACCUCCACUCAGCUUAGUUCUACAUGCACUUCUGUCCCUACCAACACUAUUGCUGCUGCCAUUACAACUGCUACUGCUAUUCCAGUCCCUGUCCCCACAGUGCCCUCUCAGUACCAGACACACUCCUCAACACUGGACUCCACUUUGGCACUCAGCAUCUGUCAGCUUGGGACAUCAGUGGCCAGGAUCUCAGACAAGGUUGAUCUCCUGCUGACCAAGGUGGAUAAAAUUGAGACAGGAGGCUCCCAUGACUCAGGCUCCCCCCCUCCCAGUGAUCCUAAGGCGCUGAUGGCCCUUGCGAGUGGCCUGGUGGCACACAAUGAGAGGCUGCAGGGAGAAGUGGAGGCCCUGGAGAGGAAGCUUAGUGAGAGUCAGACAUCUCGUGCUUCACUCUUGACCAUGAAUGCUGAACUUCUGGAGGAGAAGAGAGAGCUGCUGAGAAGAGAAGCUGAACAAAGGAAGAAGGAGGAAGACAGGCAAGAAGAAAGUGCUGAAAAUUUAAAAGAUAAAGAAGAACCAGUGAAGGAACAAGAAGAAAAGGAAACCCAAACGGAGGCUGAGGGAUACAUUCAGCAGGAGGACAAGCAAGGCCUGAUGCCAGAGCAGGUGAGAUCACUGGUCAAGUCAACCCUCUCAGGUCUGUUCCGCCACCUGUCCGAUGCCUUCAGUGAGGAGGAGCAGCACUCUCGGCCUCAGGUCCUGUGCACUGUGAGGUCUGGCCUGCAGGUGGCUUAUUCCACUUUUAUGGAGAACCUUGAAGAGAUAGUGGGGGUGGAGGAAACAGCAGCAGAAGAGGAAGAAAGAAGUGGAGAGGAGGAAAAGCAACAUGAAGAGGAUGAGAAAAAAGAGAACAGCAAAAGCCAUGAUAUGGAGGUCAGGAGUGGAGAAAGUGAUCCAGGUGAGGAAAUUUAUGAAGAUUUUGCCACUGAGGAGAGGUGGAUAGAAAAGGAGGAGGAGGAGGAUGGGAAGCCAACAGAAAUACAAAACACACUUGAAAUUGAGCCUCUGUACCUGAAACAAAAGGAAUUAAGUAAGAAUGAUAAAAAAGAGGAUGAAGAUUUGAAGAAACAUACUUCCUUGUGCUUGGAAAAGGCAGAUGAUUAGGAAGGAAAACAGCACGAGGAGGAGGAGAGAGUGGAGGAAGUGGCAGACUUAAAGAAUGAAAUGUUAAAAGAAAAGAUCAGCCAGUCAUGAACAGAAAGGAUCAGGAGUAGAUGCAAGGAGGUGAAGCUGUUCUGUCCACAUGCUUCAUGUCCUGCAGCGCUCAAGAGUGUCUUCUGAUUGGCCUGCCAAGUGGGUCAUCAUUGCUCAAGUAUAAGAUUGCUGAUUUAGUCAUUGGUGUGGCUCGGCAGUAAUGAAAGAUAAGCUGUUGCCUUACACUGUAAUGUGUGUCCUCUUGCUGGGCUGAUGUUGUCCAGCUUGUUGAUAUUUUAAUGUAAUGUUAAUCAAAUUUUUAAAGUAUUUAGCAUGUAUGAUUAUUUUUACUAUGCAGAAAGAAGGAUAAAAAUAAUUAAUUCAUCAAUCAACAGUAAGAUUAGCAUAGACAGAUAAUGUCUAUGCAUGAAUAGUGUGUAGAAACAUGACAGCAUCAACCUGUCUUACUAACCAAAAUGGUAAGUCAUUAUGCAUUACCCAGGGUUCAUCACCACAGUGUAUAGUUUCUCUUUACCCUCCAUUGUCAUGGUUACUGAGUAAUAGGUGCUACAGCUUUACUAAGGAAAGCAUUCACUAGGGAGCAGUAAGUGAGUCCUUCCAUUUGUAAAUUUGUUUAUGUCAUCCAUAACCAUUAUAAUUUUUUGUGUAAUGUCCUAUUUUCCUAAUGGGAUUAGAUUGGGGUUGGAUGGUCACAUAGUUGAAGCAGAGGUUGCCUCCCACAGGUGCUCAUCUCUUAUGGGGCAUGGGUUUGAUUUCAGGAUGACCUUCCCCAAUCCUUGAAGUUUUUUACACUCGCAUCUCUUAUUGAGUCCCUCCUCUCAUUGUGCAUCCUUCCUUCCAUGUUCACUCCCCUUAAGUCUUUCACUCAUCAUGAAGGAGAGGAACGUCACUCACAUAAUGAUCUAUUUACAAAGAUACAAAGAAAGAAACCAUUCCACAUGCAGCCUUAGCCAUGCUUUGUCCUGCCACUGUGCUCUCCAGGUAGUGCCAAAUUAUACAGCAUAUGUGAAUGAUUGAGGAUGGGAUCAUAUUAUUCAAGUGGUCUGGGAUUUCCAUAGCUUACUUCAGGAAAAAAAUAAAGGGACUACUAAUACUUCUGUUUGAUAGAAACAUCUGUAUCAGUUCUCAGUUCUUUCUAGUAUUUAUAGGAUCUGAAUGUGUCAUCAGAAUGUGAUAUUUGAUAGGCUGUGGGAUAAAAUUAUGUAUUAUAAGGAUGAAGACAUUCAUUUGUUAUGUCCCCUUCUCAAAAUUAGAUAACAUUAUAUUUUGAGCCCUUUAGUUUCAUGGAUAAAACAUGGACAUCCUGCCUUUCAGUGUGAAACGCAAUGCAUUCCUCAGAGAGAGUUUAAGGCUCAGUGGCACAAGAUGGGGUGCCUCUUCCUGAUGCUUUAUUGGCACAUUUUCUGUUUGUGUACGGACAGGUAGCUCAUAACAGUCAUAUUUCUCAUACUACUCAAACUUCUGUCUUGUCCAAUAUCAUAUCUGCCGACACCCUCACACCAUCCCACAACUGCCAUCACUACUUUCAUAUUCAACACACCCUUCAUGACAUGUAACAGUCUGUUAAGAUUAGACAGACUUAAGUAAGCUAGUCAGUCAGUUAAGUUUUAAGAGACCAAAUAAACAUCUAACUUGAAUUGCUAUUGUCAUGUCUUUGUCGUCAUGUUAUUUUACUACAAGAAUUUUGGCAUGAAGUUGAUGUAUUGUUGUUUUGUUCAUUAGAUGUCACAAAUUUUCAUGCAAGGAAUGCACUGCAGUGUUCUCACAUACAGCUGCAGCCAGAUCAGUGGUUAUUGUUGCUUCAGAACAAUCCUAAUUUUAGUGUAUUAGGAAAAGGUGAUCAGUGGUUUGUCAUGGUGCAUGUUAAUUGAGGCAGCAGUAAUCAUUUAAGUUAUUCAAAUAAUUUAUCUUUUUCAUAUUGAGGUAGAUUUUUCAUUGAUUGGAUAUGCUCAUUUUCUAAACAUUUGCUUCUGAUGUGAAAGAUUUAGAGUUUAAAAGACUAAAAGAUUUACUUAAUGCCUUUUCUUAGUGCAGUAUUCAUAUUUUUAUAAUUAAUUUUAUGUAUUUAGCUAUUUUUAUUUGUACAUUUUUAGUAUACACAGACCAGCAUUGGCAGGUGCUACUAAUGUACUGCUUUGUUUCCUUUGCAUCAUCAGGAGAGACUGUCAUGUUUUUUUUUAAUUUAUUUCAGUGAUAAAGAUUUGUUUAUCAUAAUGUGUGUCUAAGACUAUCAUGAGGAAGUACAACACAUUAAGUGAAGCAUUCCUAGCUAAUAGUUAUUAGUUAUUGGGUUAAUUUUGAUAUUUUGUUAACUGUUUAUGAAUAAUCAAUGUAAUUUUGCACAUUUGAUGAUAAACAACAAGAAAUUAUUGUAUAUUUCUUACAUUACUGUAGUGCUUUUGUAUUGCAGCACCUUUGCACCCCCCCCAACCCUCACCCCCUCCUGCUUCCACCAGGUGGGCAGAUCAGCAUACUCCUGCCACCACAACACUGUGUGACAUCAAAGGUAAAACAAAAUAAUCCUGAGAUGUUUUUCCCUUUAUUAUUGGCGAGUACAGACAGCCAUACAAUCACAGACAUGAGAGGAAGGAUGAGGUGCACCCACUCACACAAGGACACCUCACACUUCAAUCUCAGGAAGAACCAGAUUGCAAUAUUACCAGAAUUUAAUGUGCUUUCUUGUUUACAUUCUUAUACAGUAUAUAUAUAUAUAUAUAUAUAUAUAUAUAUAUAUAUAUAUAUAUAUAUAUAUAUAUAUAUAUAUAUAUAUACUUUUUAGACAUACAUAAUCUUCCUUAAGUACAAAUGUAAGUAAAAUUUCUAAUACAGCAUAAAAAAUUUUUGCACCAUAAACAAACUCACGCAUUCACUCUUUUUGACAGCAGGUAAGAAAGAAGAGAGGACAGGAUUAUAGCAGGCACCACAGCAUCUUGGUUGCUACAAGUUGCCAGGAUCUCUGAUUCAAACAAGACGACAACACCCAACUUUGGAUGUUUAUGCAGACUCUCUCUCUCUCUCUCUCUCUCUCUCUCUCUCUCUCUCUCUCUCUCUCUCUCUCUCUCUCUCUCUCUCUCUCUCUCUCUCUCUCUCUCAUCACAGUAUGUUUAUGAAUCACAGUCACUCACCACAACUCCUUGAUAAUAAUAGGUCUCUCUCUCUCUCUCUCUCUCUCUCUCUCUCUCUCUCUCUCUCUCAUUUCAUCUCAUCUCACCACAGCCCACAGUAUGAUAACAACAGGUCUCUCUCUCUCUCUCUCUCUCACAGAAAAUGGAUAAGCAAUUGUCAUAGAAAAUGAAAUUUCUCUCUCUUACAGAAAAUGGAUAAGCAAUUGUCAUAGAAAAUUAAAUUUCUCUCUCUCUCUCUCUCUCUCUCUCUCUCUCUCUCUCUCUCUCUCUCUCUCUCUCUCUCUCUCUCUCUCUCUCUCUCUCUCUCUCUCUCUC
Scylla paramamosain (green mud crab) is the source of this 6439-nucleotide RNA transcript. It is a transcript of the gene named FK506-binding protein 15-like, with no coding region annotated. The transcript has 16 exons. The record is from RefSeq and is a predicted model, not a curated record. Lineage: Eukaryota; Metazoa; Arthropoda; Malacostraca; Decapoda; Portunidae.